GCCUUUUUAAUACAUUUUAAUAUAGUUGACUUCCAAUCAACCAAAUCUGGUAACUCAACCCAGAAAAAGGUA
Molecule: transfer RNA, 72 nt
Filed under: Geotria australis
Lineage: Eukaryota; Metazoa; Chordata; Hyperoartia; Petromyzontiformes; Geotriidae
Description: tRNA-Gly
Source: RNAcentral